Molecule: ribosomal RNA, 292 nt
Filed under: uncultured Alphaproteobacteria bacterium
Lineage: Bacteria; Pseudomonadati; Pseudomonadota; Alphaproteobacteria
Description: partial 16S ribosomal RNA
Source: RNAcentral
GGACUACAGGGGUAUCUAAUCCUGUUUGCUCCCCACGCUUUCGCGCCUCAGCGUCAGUGUCGGUCCAGUGAGCCGCCUUCGCCACUGGUGUUCUUCCCAAUAUCUACGAAUUUCACCUCUACACUGGGAAUUCCACUCACCUCUCCCGAACUCAAGCCAUACAGUAUCAAGCGCAAUUCCCAGGUUGAGCCCGGGGCUUUCACGCCUAACUUGAUUGGCCGCCUACGCGCCCUUUACGCCCAGUAAUUCCGAACAACGCUAGCCCCCUUCGUAUUACCGCGGCGGCUGGCAC